UAAAUUAGAGAAGUCAGAGUGCACAAGCAUUAGAUAUAUAGUAGCUAGGGUACAAUGAUAGAAAUGACCGUACAAAAAAUUUGUAAGUUUCCACAUCUUAGGGCUGUCCAAAUCCUUCAUCUUCGCAGGCCUUACCACUGCCAGCUCCUGAUAGUCUGCAAAUGAUUUUCUGCAACUUGCUACCUAUUGAUCAUGUUCAUCACUGAAGAAGAAGGUGAACUAUCAAAGACAAGGAAUAAAUAUCCUUAUUUUUAUCAAUGAGAUUACGUCUUUGUUUCUUUUCAUUUUCCUCUUAAGGAAUGGAUAGAUCGAAUAUGUAACAAUAUCUAUCUUUCUAAUCUCAAAUGCCAUCUUUCCUAUUUUGGUUUCCCCAUAUUUUUUGCUUCCAUUUUUGCUUUUUAUUUUUCUUGUUGUUGGCAUACUGGGCUGGCACAUUUUAUUCCAGUGGGCAGCCAACAGCA
Long non-coding RNA from Musa acuminata AAA Group (dessert banana), 461 nucleotides. RefSeq lists it as uncharacterized. Lineage: Eukaryota; Viridiplantae; Streptophyta; Magnoliopsida; Zingiberales; Musaceae. The record is from RefSeq and is a predicted model, not a curated record. The transcript is spliced from 2 exons.